This 445-nucleotide ribosomal RNA is filed under the name uncultured bacterium. Its description in RNAcentral is "partial 16S ribosomal RNA". It matches the Rfam family "Bacterial small subunit ribosomal RNA", at positions 354 to 796 of the family's 1533-position model. The record is from RNAcentral.
GUAGGGAAUAUUGGGCAAUGGAUGCAAGUCUGACCCAGCCAUGCCGCGUGCCGGAUGAAGGCCCUCAGGGUUGUAAACGGCUUUUAUUCGGGAAGAAGAGCAGGGAUGCGUCCUUGUGUGACGGUACCGAAUGAAUAAGCACCGGCUAACUCCGUGCCAGCAGCCGCGGUAAUACGGAGGGUGCGAGCGUUGUCCGGAUUUAUUGGGUUUAAAGGGUGCGUAGGUGGCUGUUUAAGUCAGUGGUGAAAUACGGUUGCUCAACAAUCGAGGUGCCAUUGAUACUGAAUAGCUUGAAAUAAUUGGAGGCUGCCGGAAUGGAUGGUGUAGCGGUGAAAUGCAUAGAUAUCAUCCAGAACACCGAUUGCGAAGGCAGGUGGCUACGAUUGGUUUGACACUGAGGCACGAAAGCAUGGGGAGCAAACAGGAUUAGAAACCCGAGUAGUCC